This 484-nucleotide ribosomal RNA is filed under the name uncultured bacterium. Its description in RNAcentral is "partial 16S ribosomal RNA". It matches the Rfam family "Bacterial small subunit ribosomal RNA", at positions 30 to 507 of the family's 1533-position model. The record is from RNAcentral.
AUUGAACGCUGGCGGCAGGCCUAACACACGCAAGUCGAGCGGAUGAAGGGAGCUUGCUCCUGGAUUCAGCGGCGGACGGGUGAGUAAUGCCUAGGAAUCUGCCUGGUAGUGGGGGAUAACGUCCGGAAACGGGCGCUAAUACCGCAUACGUCCUGAGGGAGAAAGUGGGGGAUCUUCGGACCUCACGCUAUCAGAUGAGCCUAGGUCGGAUUAGCUAGUUGGUGGGGUAAAGGCCUACCAAGGCGACGAUCCGUAACUGGUCUGAGAGGAUGAUCAGUCACACUGGAACUGAGACACGGUCCAGACUCCUACGGGAGGCAGCAGUGGGGAAUAUUGGACAAUGGGCGAAAGCCUGAUCCAGCCAUGCCGCGUGUGUGAGGAAGGUCUUCGGAUUGUAAAGCACUUUAAGUUGGGAGGAAGGGCAGUAAGUUAAUACCUUGCUGUUUUGACGUUACCAACAGAAUAAGCACCGGCUAACUUCGUG